This is a small nuclear RNA of Cavia porcellus (domestic guinea pig), 107 nucleotides long. NCBI's taxonomy places the organism in Eukaryota, Metazoa, Chordata, Mammalia, Rodentia, Caviidae. The record is from Ensembl.
GUGCUCACCUCAGCAGCAUAUAUACUAAAAUUGGAAUGAUACAGAGAAGAUUGGCAUGGCCCCUGCGCAAGCAUGACAUGCAAAUUCAUGAAGUGUUCCAUAUUUAU